GAUGAACGCUGGCGGCGUGCCUAAUACAUGCAAGUCGAGCGAACAGACGAGGUGCUUGCUCCUCCGACGUUAGCGGCGGACGGGUGAGUAACACGUGGAUAACCUACCUAUAAGACUGGGAUAACUUCGGGAAACCGGAGCUAAUACCGGAUAAUAUAUUGAACAGCAAGGUUCACUAGUGAAAGUCGGUAUUGCUGUCACUUAUAGAUGACUCCGGGCCGCAUCAGCUAGUUGGUAAGGUAACGGCUUACCAAGGCAACGAUGGGUAGCCGACCUGAGAGCGUGGUCCGCCACCCUGGAACUGAGACACAGUCCAGACUCCUGCGGGGGGCAGCAGUAGGGAAUCUUCCGCGAGGGGCGAAAGCCUGACGGAGCAACGCCGCGUGAGUGAUGAAGGUCUUCGGAUCGUAAAACUCUGUUAUUAGGGAAGAACAAAUGUGUAAGUAACUAUGCACGUCUUGACGGUACCUAAUCAGAAAGCCACGGCUAACUACGUG
RNAcentral lists this ribosomal RNA (497 nucleotides) under uncultured bacterium. RNAcentral describes it as "partial 16S ribosomal RNA". It matches the Rfam family "Bacterial small subunit ribosomal RNA", at positions 28 to 507 of the family's 1533-position model. The record is from RNAcentral.